UGGACUAAAAAGGAAAUAGGUUCACAUAAAUUGAAACGGAGGGAGUAAUACAUCUUCUGAUGAAAACAUUUUUACAGACAACAUUUUUGUUUCUUACCAAGUGGACCCUAUUCAGUUGAUAUGGUUAUGUCCAUGCUAGUUGAAGUAAAAAUUGCUCAGUUCCGGCUAUAUUCAAUUUCAUUCAUCACGUUUAUCUUUUGCUUCUAGUUGUGGCAUAUUGCCUUUCAGGUUCAUUCAUCACGUGUAUAUUCUGCAUCUAACAACAACAACAACAACAACAACAACAAUAACUACCAAGUAUAGUCCCACAAAGUGGGGCCUGGGGAGGGUAAUACGUACAUAGGCCUUACCCCUACCCGAAAGGGCAGAGAGGCUGUUUCCAAUCAACCCUCGGCUCAGGAAAGAAAAAGAAAAACAAAAACAAAAGAGCAUUAGUAACUCCAGCAGAAAUCACAUAAAUAAUUAUCUAAACAUAAAAUCAUAAAUAAAAUGGCAUGCAAUAAUAUCAACCAGUGACUACGAAACCCCACCCAGCCCGAUAAAGAAGUACGAAAAAUUCUAGAAGCCCUAUCCUACAACCCUGAUACUAGACCUCCGGACUUUCCUAUCAAGUGUCAUGUCCUCGGAAAUUCGCAUUCUAGCCAUGUCCUGCCUAAUCACCUUUCCUCAAUACUUCUUAGGCCUCCCUCUGCCUCGACUAGCCAACCACCGCCGGCCACUCACAACUCCUCACCGGGGCAUCAGGGCUUCGCAGGGUUAUUAGAAGCGCUCUCUUCUCGCUUUUAGCGACGAGGCGAGGCGAGGCGAUAGGGUUACGCUUUUUUGUGAAUAAAGCGACUCACAUGAUUUAAGCACACGCUUUUCUCGCUUAAGCGAGAAGCGACGAAGCGAUAAAAGCGCAAAAAAGCUCGCUUAAGCGACGAGAAGGCUGAAGCUAGGGUUUUUUAAAAACUUUGGGCAAAAUAAACUUACCUGCUCUGUUACCAAAACAUAUCGACAUACUGUUGCUUCUUCUCCAGUCCAGCGAACGACCACUGCUGCUCCAGGUAAGUUUCUUCUUCUUCUUCUGCUCUGUUUCUUCUGUUCUUCUUCUUCUUCUGUUAUUCUUCUUCUAAUCUUCUUCUUCAGUUCUUCUGGUCUUCUUCUCUUCAUGCUCUGUUUUUUGCUUUCUUCUGUUAUUCUUCUUAUUUUCUGUUUUUCUUUCAAUUUUUUUUGUCCAGAUGAAGCUCUGUUCAGCAACGACCACUGCUUUUUGCUUUCUUCUGUUAUUCUUCUUAUUUUCUGAUUUUCUUUCAAUUUUUUUCGUCCAGAUUAAGCUCUGUUCAGACUUCAACAACGAGCUCUGUUUUUAAAGCUAGGGUUUUUUUUCGCAGAGUAAGCUCUGUUCAGACUUUAGCAACGAGCUUUGUUUUUAAAGUUAGGUUUUUUUUAUCCAAACUGUGGUGCUCUGUUUUUUGCAUUUUUUACAUUAUUAUUCUCUGUUUUUAGCUUUCUUAUGACUUUAUGCUCUAUUUUUUGUUUAGGGUAGUGAAUUAAUUAUUAUUAUUUUUUUGGUUGUUGAUUGUAGUAAAUUUAAUUUGAUUAUUCAAUGGCAUCAAGUUCAAGCCAAAAAAGAGAUCCAGCUUGGGCGUAUGGGGCUGCAAUUGACAAGAAUAACUCAAGAGUGCAAUGUAUCUUUUGUCAAAAAAUUUAUAACGGCGGACUACAUCGUCACAAGAGACAUCUAAUCGGUGGUUUUAGAGAUGUCAAAGAAUGUCCAAGUGUUCCGGCUACUGUUAAGAAAGAAAUGAGAGAUUAUGUUGAGAAUAAAAAUGAGUUAAAAAAUCUAGUGAGCCAUGGAGCAUCUAUGAUGAAUCUUCUUGAUGAAGAUACUCAAAUGGAUGACGAUGACGAUGAAGUCAAUGAUAUAAUGAGGCCACCUCUCUCAAAGAAAGAAUUCAACAAGUGGAAGUGGAUCAUCCACCACCGGUAGCAAUGUGAAAGGUCCUCUUAAUCUUUUUUUCUCACAAAAACCAAAUGAAAAGAGAAAGAGUGAAAUUGACUUAGAAUCUUGUAGGAAGAGUUUGAGGGGGCGUGCUGUAGAUGCUUUUGCAAGGUGGUUGUAUGAUGCGGGGUUUCCUUUUAAUUGUGUGAAUUACACCGAUAGUUUUGGGGAAUUCAUUGAGGCCGUUGGCAAAUAUGGCCCGGGAAUGAAGCCCCCUACCUAUCACGAAGUAAGAGUUCCUUGUCUAAAAAAGGAGGUGGAGAAGAUAGACAAGAUUAUCGAGGAGCAUAAGGCACAAUGGAAAGUUUAUGGUUGUUCCAUUAUGAUAGACAAAUGGACCGCAAAAAAUGGAAAAAUGGUCAUUAAUGUUUUGGUGAAUUCUCGAGAGGUAGUGUGUUUCUUGAAUCUUAUGAUGCUAGUGACUCCUCAACCGAUUCCAAUAAAAUGUUCAACUUGUUUGAGAAGACAAUAUUAAAAGUUGGACCGGAAAAUGUGGUUCAAGUUGUUACUGAUAAUGCAAGUGAGAAUAAAAAGUCGGGUGACAUGUUGAAAGGAGUUUUCCAAGUAUUUAUUGGACUCCUUGUGCUGAACAUUGUAUCAACUUGAUCUUUGGUGACAUUUUCAAGUUAGCCCCAUAUUCUACAGGUGAACAUGUGGUUCUUAUUUUCUAUUUUAAGUUUUUAACCUUCAUGUUAAAUAUUUCAUACUUAUUAACUAUGAAAUUUGACUUCCUAAAGUUUUUGCUAAGAUGGUCAAGAUAUAUUCUUACAUUAGUCAAAAGCCGUUGUUGUUGAACAUGACUAGGAGAUAUACAAAAGAAAGAAAUUUGGUGAAACCAGCCAAGACAAGAUUCGCAACAACUCUCUUGACCUUGCAAAGCUUUUACGUGCAAAAGCAAAAUUUGCGAACCAUGUUCUUGUCAACUGAAUGGAGUGAGAGUAACUAUGAAAAAAGUGAGAAGCGGGAAAAGCGGAAGAAGCGAUCACUUCUUGGAAUAGACUACCCAAAUGCGUCUUUUUCAAUUAAAAGACCCAAAAUUGAAUGAGUCUGUUUUAAUCAUUCUUCAGCAGCAACCUAGGGCUUUAAAUCAGCCAUUUCUUCCUAAAAAAACCAAUGAUUUCAAGAUUCAACAGGUAUGUUUUUAUUUUCAAUCUUCUUCUUUUUCUUUUUAUUUCUAAACGUCCAAAAAGCGUCGAAAUGUUGGCGAAUUUUUUUCAGCCCAGAAAUUUUUUCCCUAGUUGAUGAAAAAGAUGAAUAUGAAGA
Molecule: long non-coding RNA, 3247 nt
Filed under: Nicotiana benthamiana
Lineage: Eukaryota; Viridiplantae; Streptophyta; Magnoliopsida; Solanales; Solanaceae
Description: long non-coding RNA (NBEN_LNC028249)
Source: RNAcentral